UAGGGAAUCUUCGGCAAUGGGGGGAACCCUGACCGAGCAACGCCGCGUGAGUGAAGAAGGUUUUCGGAUCGUAAAGCUCUGUUGUUAAGGAAGAACGAGUGUGAGAAUGGAAAGUUCAUACUGUGACGGUACUUAACCAGAAAGGGACGGCUAACUACGUGCCAGCAGCCGCGGUAAUACGUAGGUCCCGAGCGUUGUCCGGAUUUAUUGUGCGUAAAGCGAGCGCAGGCGGUUAGAUAAGUCUGAAGUUAAAGGCAGUGGCUCAACCAUUGUAGGCUUUGGAAACUGGUUAGCUUGAGUGCAGAAGGGGAGAGUGGAAUUCCAUGUGUAGCGGUGAAAUGCGUAGAUAUAUGGAGGAACACCGGUGGCGAAAGCGGCUCUCUGGUCUGUAACUGACGCUGAGGCUCGAAAGCGUGGGGAGCGAACAGG
Molecule: ribosomal RNA, 429 nt
Filed under: Bacteroidota bacterium
Lineage: Bacteria; Pseudomonadati; Bacteroidota
Description: Bacteroidetes bacterium partial 16S ribosomal RNA
Rfam family: Bacterial small subunit ribosomal RNA
Source: RNAcentral